RNAcentral lists this long non-coding RNA (546 nucleotides) under Mytilus galloprovincialis (Mediterranean mussel). Lineage: Eukaryota; Metazoa; Mollusca; Bivalvia; Mytilida; Mytilidae. The record is from RNAcentral.
UUUUGUGGUUUGAGAAAACUUGCAUAUUCAUGAAUAUUUGAUUUUUUUUUUUGUGGAAAAGUCUGCACUCAUUACUAUAGAAAGUUUGUAAUUUGUUGAACAUUAAAAUACAUGGUGCUCCUGUACCCAUGAAAUUUGGUCUCCAACGAAAAUUAACAUGAUUAAUGUAAUGAAUAAGCAUGUCUUCCCCCCUUUUAUAAUAUUUUUUGUGUCUUGUGUGAACUAAUGAGCAUACUAUAAAAAAUGCAAAAUAAAUGCAUGACUGAUACUAUGGAUGUUUCUUUUUUUAAUAGCUAAGGCAUGGAUGAGAUUGUCCUUCCAGCUCUAAUGGUCAUCUUCCCAAUAUUGGCAGUAGUAUUGUCUGUAAUCUUAACACUUAUUGUCCGGCAUACAAUUGUCAAGUUGAAAAACGUUGACAGACUCAGAAUACGGGUUUUAGACAUUUCAAUUAGGUAUGUCUUCUGUAAAAUGUAUAAUGAAUAUAUAUAUUUGAAAAAAAGGAUUGCACCACUAAAACUUUUUUUCAGUGUACAUUUCUUAUUCCAU